GGUUAAGCGACUAAGCGUACACGGUGGAUGCCCUGGCAGUCAGAGGCGAUGAAGGACGUGCUAAUCUGCGAUAAGCGUCGGUGAGGUGAUAUGAACCGUUAUAACCGGCGAUUUCCGAAUGGGGAAACCCAGUGUGUUUCGACACACUAUCAUUAACUGAAUCCAUAGGUUAAUGAGGCGAACCGGGGGAACUGAAACAUCUAAGUACCCCGAGGAAAAGAAAUCAACCGAGAUUCCCCCAGUAGCGGCGAGCGAACGGGGAGGAGCCCAGAGCCUGAAUCAGUGUGUGUGUUAGUGGAAGCGUCUGGAAAGGCGCGCGAUACAGGGUGACAGCCCCGUACACAAAAAUGCACAUAUUGUGAGCUCGAUGAGUAGGGCGGGACACGUGGUAUCCUGUCUGAAUAUGGGGGGACCAUCCUCCAAGGCUAAAUACUCCUGACUGACCGAUAGUGAACCAGUACCGUGAGGGAAAGGCGAAAAGAACCCCGGCGAGGGGAGUGAAAAAGAACCUGAAACCGUGUACGUACAAGCAGUGGGAGCCUCUUAAUGGGGUGACUGCGUACCUUUUGUAUAAUGGGUCAGCGACUUAUAUUCUGUAGCAAGGUUAACCGAAUAGGGGAGCCGAAGGGAAACCGAGUCUUAACUGGGCGUUAAGUUGCAGGGUAUAGACCCGAAACCCGGUGAUCUAGCCAUGGGCAGGUUGAAGGUUGGGUAACACUAACUGGAGGACCGAACCGACUAAUGUUGAAAAAUUAGCGGAUGACUUGUGGCUGGGGGUGAAAGGCCAAUCAAACCGGGAGAUAGCUGGUUCUCCCCGAAAGCUAUUUAGGUAGCGCCUCGUGAAUUCAUCUCCGGGGGUAGAGCACUGUUUCGGCAAGGGGGUCAUCCCGACUUACCAACCCGAUGCAAACUGCGAAUACCGGAGAAUGUUAUCACGGGAGACACACGGCGGGUGCUAACGUCCGUCGUGAAGAGGGAAACAACCCAGACCGCCAGCUAAGGUCCCAAAGUCAUGGUUAAGUGGGAAACGAUGUGGGAAGGCCCAGACAGCCAGGAUGUUGGCUUAGAAGCAGCCAUCAUUUAAAGAAAGCGUAAUAGCUCACUGGUCGAGUCGGCCUGCGCGGAAGAUGUAACGGGGCUAAACCAUGCACCGAAGCUGCGGCAGCGACGCUUAUGCGUUGUUGGGUAGGGGAGCGUUCUGUAAGCCUGUGAAGGUGUGCUGUGAGGCAUGCUGGAGGUAUCAGAAGUGCGAAUGCUGA
Molecule: ribosomal RNA, 1259 nt
Filed under: Escherichia coli
Lineage: Bacteria; Pseudomonadati; Pseudomonadota; Gammaproteobacteria; Enterobacterales; Enterobacteriaceae
Description: partial 23S ribosomal RNA
Rfam family: Bacterial large subunit ribosomal RNA
Source: RNAcentral